UUUCCGUAGGUGAACCUGCGGAAGGAUCAUUAACAAAAUCCAAUCUAACCCUGUCGAAUCGUUUGGUCAUGCUCGAGAAAAAGUCCUUUCUCAGUUUGACCUACCUUCCCUGUGGGAGAAGAAAUCCAGACAAUUGUGUUGAUGAUGGCCCUUAGAAGCUGCCAGCUCUAUAAUUAAUUGGAAUUUAAUCAUUUUCCCACAGGAAAGUAUAUAUAAUAAACUCUUAUUGACAAGAUUAAUAUUUUAAAAGAUAAACAACUUUUAACAAUGGAUCUCUUGGCUCUU
RNAcentral lists this unclassified non-coding RNA (285 nucleotides) under plant metagenome. Its description in RNAcentral is "partial contains small subunit ribosomal RNA, internal transcribed spacer 1, and 5.8S ribosomal RNA". The record is from RNAcentral.